ACACAUGCUACAAUAUGUUGAACCUUGAAGACAUUAUGCUGUGUGAAAUAAGCCAGUUACAAAAAGACAAAUACUGUCUGAUUCCACUUAUAUGAGAUUCCUGGAGUAGUCAAACUCAUAGAGACGGAAGCAGAAUGCUGGUUGCCAGUGGCUGGGGAGAGGGUAAAUGGAGAGUUAUUGUUUAGUGGGCAUACAGUUUCAGUUUGCAAAGAUGAAAAUAACCUGGUAGCGAUUGUUGAACAAUGUGAACGUACUUAAUGCCACAGAACUGUACGCUUAAAAAGUUUAAAUGGUAAAUUUUAUGGCACAUGCAUUUCAUCGAAAUGUUUAAAGGGACUAUGAAGGGUAACUUGUAUGAAAUAAAAUGGGUAGAACGCUCUUGCGGUCCUUUGGAUACAUUCUAAACCUGAGUUGGGGUGUGAGGAGGGGUGGGUUCAGAGAUUUCUUUCCAGAAAGAAAAGAGCCACAACCACAACACCUGCACUCCCCACCGCGCCGGAACGUUUCCAGCACGGGGAUGCGCUGCGGCAAACCUAGAAGGAACCCAGAAGCAGAAAAUCCUAGAAUGUGAUCGUUUGGAGCCAGAGGGCAUGAAGUGACCGGCUGGCCGCCUUGCCACACCAAGUCAGAGCCGUCCCUAAGAACCCACACCUGCUGUGCAGACCCUGAGCUCCUGCUCUUCUUGGGCCUUCAAGGAUAAAGAGAGCACCUUGGACAUCACCGGACAUACAGUAGUCAACUAUUUUGGAGUGCAUUAAUGAAUUCACUGGAGAAACAGAACCUGAGAAACUAUGCACUUGGGGGUAUGCUGAAAGACCAGAACAAGGCAUGAAUUUACACACGAGGAAAUUCAAUGAAAGUCUAUCUGCUCAAUUGUGUUACCUUCUGCCUCAUUCUCCAGCCCUGACUCCAUAAGGUCAGUAUCAGGCACCUAUUCCCUCCUCUCUAUUAUACCCUGGACAGAAUCUUGAGAGAGUCCAUUUCAAAGAAAUUGAGGGGCUAGAGAAGUUUAGGUAUUGAUACAUGAGGUCCCCCAAAAAAGCUAGUUUGCUUCUUGAUCACGGCAUAAUGAAGCCUACAAAUGCACUGGCUCCACUUACACAUCUGCAGAACUAGAAACCAACCACCCAGCACCAGGCUCUGCACAGCCAGCCCAGAAUCACCAAAUGUUUGAGUAAGGCUGCUAGAAGAAAGCAGAGAUAAGAGUAAACAAACUAAAAAUAGAAGUAAAUAGACAACAGAAAGCAAAAGAUAGUAGCAACAACAAAAACACACAAUAAUCAGUGUUUCCAGAGGGAUAAGAGAAACUACAUCCAAAAAAGCAAGAUGAGAUGGUGUAUAUAAAAAGAAACAAUCAGGGAAUAAGAGCUUUCAGAGCAGAAUAAAUACAUAUCUUUUUAAAAAUCAAAGAAGAAAGAAGAAGGAUGAAGGCCAGGUGUGGCAUCUCACACAUGUAAUCCCAACACUUUAGGAAGGAAAGGUACGUGGAUUGCUUGAGCUCAGGAGUUUGAGACCAACCAGGGUAACAUAGUGAAAAAUAUAUUAUAUUAUAUUUGUGAAUAUCUGAUACUAUAUUUGUGAAUAUCUGCCAGACUUAUACUUACUGAAGUCAAAUAAAAUACAGAGCUGAAUCUCUAAAUUUAAAACAUUUUAUUUAGGAAGCAAUAAUUGCAAUUUGGGGCACAUAGACCGGGUGGCCUUAGUAUGUCUGAAGAACAAAGAGAAGGUUGUACAUUUUAUAAAAAGGGAGCUUACCAUCAUUAGUCAUCAGAAAAAAAUAAAAAUUAAAACCACGGUAAUAUACUAUCAUCCUCCCAGAAUGGCUGAAUUAAAAAAUACUCAGAAUACCAAAUUUUGGUAAGGAUGUGAACUCUCUGAUAUCCACAGUAUAAAAUGAUAAAACCAUCUCAGAAACCUGUUUGGCAGUUUCUAAUAAAGUUAAAUACACACUUAUCUAUGACCUGGAAAUUCUCCUCCUAGGUAUAUAUCUAGGAGAAACAAAUGCAUAUGUCUACAAAAAGUCCUAUAGAAAAAUGUUCAUGGCAGCUUAUUUACAAAUGCUAAAGAUGGAAAACAGCCCACAUAUUCAUUAUCCAUAAACAGAUACACAUACUCAGGUGGAUUCAUACAAUGGGAUAUUACCAAACAAUACAAAUGAAUAAACUACUGACACAUUUAACAACAUAGAUGACUUUCAUAAAAAUCAUUAUGAGCAAAAGAAGUCAGACAUAAAAUAGUACAUACUGUAUAAUUCCAUUAACAUGACCACUGAACAGGCCAAACUAAUCUAUGAUGAAACAAAUCAGAAUAAAUGUUGCCUCUUACGGGAGGAGGGUAUUGAUGGGAAAAGGGGAGAAGGGGACAUUUCAUGGUGAUGGAAACAUUCUAGAGGAUGGAUAACCUGCGUGAUAGUCAGGUAGAAAGAGUCAUCAAGCCAUACACUUACUAUUGCAGUACUCAAUAAAGUACUGCAAAGAACAAAUCAAUUCCAGCUGUGACUGACAAUUUAGAUUCAGAGCAAUCCAUGUGUUGCAAACACCCAGAAAAGUCACCAAAGCAGGGGAAGUCUGGAAGGAUUUUCUUCUAACACUUUUUUUUUCUUUUUCUUUUUUUUUGAGACAGAGUCUUGCUCUGUUGCCCAGGCUGGAGUCCAGUGGUGUGAUCUCGGC
This is a non-coding RNA of Macaca mulatta (Rhesus monkey), 2669 nucleotides long. Lineage: Eukaryota; Metazoa; Chordata; Mammalia; Primates; Cercopithecidae. The record is from RefSeq and is a predicted model, not a curated record.